AGCGAACGCUGGCGGCAGGCUUAACACAUGCAAGUCGAGCGGGCACUUUCGGGUGUCAGCGGCGGACGGGUGAGUAACGCGUGGGAACGUGCCCUCUGGUUCGGAAUAACUCAGGGAAACUUGAGCUAAUACCGGAUACGCCCUUUUGGGGAAAGGCUUGCUGCCGGAGGAUCGGCCCGCGUCUGAUUAGCUAGUUGGUGAGGUAACGGCUCACCAAGGCGACGAUCAGUAGCUGGUCUGAGAGGAUGAUCAGCCACACUGGGACUGAGACACGGCCCAGACUCCUACGGGAGGCAGCAGUGGGGAAUAUUGGACAAUGGGCGCAAGCCUCAUCCAGCCAUGCCGCGUGAGUGAUGAAGGCCUUAGGGUUGUAAAGCUCUUUUAUCCGGGACGAUAAUGACGGUACCGGAGGAAUAAGCCCCGGCUAACUUCGUG
This 435-nucleotide ribosomal RNA is filed under the name uncultured bacterium. RNAcentral's name for it is "partial 16S ribosomal RNA". It matches the Rfam family "Bacterial small subunit ribosomal RNA", at positions 29 to 507 of the family's 1533-position model. The record is from RNAcentral.